CACUGCUUUGCCCCUUAAGCUCGAUGGAAACUGUUUCAGCAGGCAAUGGAGAUGUCUGGCGAUGACGUUUUGAAUUUCAUUUUGAAAGAUUUCCUUGACGUAUGAACCUUUAUAACAUGAUGACAAUAUUCAAGCAAUAUCACGGCGGGGACACCAGAAACGGGCUUCAAACAUUGUACCAGUGUAGGGAAUCGACCCCGGGCAUGAUGAGCGAAGGCUUUAACCAGAAGGCUACCCCCUCGACAGAAAACAACACGAGGAAGACAGAAGGACCAGUGUCAUCCAACAAGACAUCACGCUGCUUCCCGUAUCUGGGAGACUUCAAGAUGUUGCACCUAACCGUCUCCAGUCGACUUUAUCUCGCCAAGACUUCGGCUACCAUCGAUUAGGGAAUACCGUUCUUUCAAAAUGAGCAAAUCUGAAGCAAAAAUCUUUGUUGGAAGGUGCUCGCGAAAGCUAACCUCGGCCUUUGUAGGUCAGGGGUUACGUGAGACGUGACUGACGGCAGGAUUUACGAAGAGUCGGCACCACUUUAGGGCAGAAUGCCAUUUUUACCGCUGAUAAGGAAAUGCCAAGAAUAUAAGUUUUUUGUAUAAGAUUACCUUUUAUAUUAAAUUUGAAUUUUCAUUUUUCA
Long non-coding RNA from Haliotis rufescens (red abalone), 634 nucleotides. RefSeq lists it as uncharacterized. The transcript is spliced from 3 exons. The record is from RefSeq and is a predicted model, not a curated record. Lineage: Eukaryota; Metazoa; Mollusca; Gastropoda; Lepetellida; Haliotidae.